AGAGUUUGAUCCUGGCUCAGAUUGAACGCUGGCGGCAUGCCUUACACAUGCAAGUCGAACGGUAACGCGGGGCAACCUGGCGACGAGUGGCGAACGGGUGAGUAAUACAUCGGAACGUGCCCAGUAGUGGGGGAUAGCCCGGCGAAAGCCGGAUUAAUACCGCAUACGACCUACGGGUGAAAGGGGGGGAUCGCAAGACCUCUCGCUAUUGGAGCGGCCGAUGUCAGAUUAGGUAGUUGGUGGGGUAAAGGCCUACCAAGCCUACGAUCUGUAGCUGGUCUGAGAGGACGACCAGCCACACUGGGACAGAGACACGGCCCAGACUCCUACGGGAGGCAGCAGUGGGGAAUUUUGGACAAUGGGCGCAAGCCUGAUCCAGCCAUGCCGCGUGCGGGAAGAAGGCCUUCGGGUUGUAAACCGCUUUUGUCAGGGAAGAAACGCUCUGAGCUAAUACCUCGGGGUAAUGACGGUACCUGAAGAAUAAGCACCGGCUAACUACGUGCCAGCAGCCGCGGUAAUACGUAGGGUGCAAGCGUUAAUCGGAAUUACUGGGCGUAAAGUGUGCGCAGGCGGUCUUGCAAGACAGAUGUGAAAUCCCCGGGCUCAACCUGGGAACUGCAUUUGUGACUGCAAGGCUGGAGUGCGGCAGAGGGGGAUGGAAUUCCGCGUGUAGCAGUGAAAUGCGUAGAUAUGCGGAGGAACACCGAUGGCGAAGGCAAUCCCCUGGGCCUGCACUGACGCUCAUGCACGAAAGCGUGGGGAGCAAGCAGGAUUAGAUACCCUGGUAGUCCACGCCCUAAACGAUGUCAACUGGUUGUUGGGAGGGUUUCUUCUCAGUAACGUAGCUAACGCGUGAAGUUGACCGCCUGGGGAGUACGGCCGCAAGGUUGAAACUCAAAGGAAUUGACGGGGACCGCACAAGCGGUGGAUGAUGUGGUUUAAUUCGACGCAACGCGAAAAACCUUACCUACCCUUGACAUGUCUGGAAUCCUGCAGAGAUGUGGGAGUGCUCGAAAGAGAAUCAGAACACAGGUGCUGCAUGGCCGUCGUCAGCUCGUGUCGUGAGAUGUUGGGUUAAGUCCCGCAACGAGCGCAACCCUUGUCAUUAGUUGCUACGCAAGAGCACUCUAAUGAGACUGCCGGUGACAAACCGGAGGAAGGUGGGGAUGACGUCAGGUCAUCAUGGCCCUUAUGGGUAGGGCUACACACGUCAUACAAUGGCCGGUACAGAGGGCUGCCAACCCGCGAGGGGGAGCUAAUCCCAGAAAACCGGUCGUAGUCCGGAUCGCAGUCUGCAACUCGACUGCGUGAAGUCGGAAUCGCUAGUAAUCGCGGAUCAGCUUGCCGCGGUGAAUACGUUCCCGGGUCUUGUACACACCGCCCGUCACACCAUGGGAGCGGGUUCUGCCAGAAGUAGUUAGCCUAACCGUAAGGAGGGCGAUUACCACGGCAGGGUUCGUGACUGGGGUGAAGU
This 1474-nucleotide ribosomal RNA is filed under the name metagenome. RNAcentral's name for it is "bacterial SSU rRNA". It matches the Rfam family "Bacterial small subunit ribosomal RNA". The record is from RNAcentral.